This 252-nucleotide ribosomal RNA is filed under the name uncultured bacterium. RNAcentral's name for it is "partial 16S ribosomal RNA". It matches the Rfam family "Bacterial small subunit ribosomal RNA", at positions 27 to 263 of the family's 1533-position model. The record is from RNAcentral.
GAAUCAACGCUGGCGGCGUGCCUCAGACAUGCAAGUCGAACGCGAAACCUUCCUCGGGAGGGAGUAGAGUGGCGCACGGGUGAGUAACACGUAGGUAAUCUACCUUGGGUGGGGAAUAACAGCCGGAAACGGCUAGCUAAUACCGCAUAAUGCAGCGGCUCGACAUCGAGACAGUUGUUAAAGCGGGGGAUCGUAAGACCUCGCGCCUAAAGAGGAGCCUGCGGCAGGAUUAGCUAGUUGGUAAGGUAAUGG